Molecule: transfer RNA, 329 nt
Filed under: cotton phyllosphere bacterium K
Lineage: Bacteria
Description: 16S-23S ribosomal RNA intergenic spacer
Rfam family: tRNA (bases 81-153)
Source: RNAcentral
UCUAAGGAAUAUUACGGAAAUACACAUUUCGUCUUUACUUUGUUCAGUUUUGAGAGGUCUACUCUCAAUCAAAUAAAUUCGGGGCCUUAGCUCAGCUGGGAGAGCGCCUGCUUUGCACGCAGGAGGUCAGCGGUUCGAUCCCGCUAGGCUCCAUUGAUAGCUUUUGCUAUCAGAUUCGUUCAUUGAAAACUGGAUAUUGAAGUAAAAAGAAUCAAAACAAACCGAGAACACCGCGUUGAAUGAGUUUUUUAAUAAGUUCAAUUGCUUAUUUAUUGAUUAACCUUCUAUCGCUAGAAGAAGUGAUCAAGACCCAACCGUAAGGUUGAUAA